UGGCACAUAGCUGCAAUUGAAAUGGUUGCGCACCGUCUUGGGGUGUCGGGGGUCGGAGGUUCAAAUCCUCUCGUGCCGACCA
RNAcentral lists this transfer RNA (82 nucleotides) under Citrobacter freundii. Its description in RNAcentral is "tRNA-Pro". RNAcentral also lists the same sequence under 1 other name. Lineage: Bacteria; Pseudomonadati; Pseudomonadota; Gammaproteobacteria; Enterobacterales; Enterobacteriaceae. The record is from RNAcentral.